Molecule: ribosomal RNA, 348 nt
Filed under: Triticum aestivum (bread wheat)
Lineage: Eukaryota; Viridiplantae; Streptophyta; Magnoliopsida; Poales; Poaceae
Description: partial small subunit ribosomal RNA
Source: RNAcentral
AUGUGUACAUUUAAUCAAGGCAUUGGGGUCCACAGAUCUUGUUACGACACGAAAAUAUUUGAUGAUUAUCAUUGCAGACGCCCUCAGUCUCAGGAACACUCUCGCUAUGUCUUUGAUUCUGUUAAAGACCCAUGUAGGUAUGCCCAACCUGCCAUUUGUUUAUGCUGGCGACUUCAUCAAAGUGCUACGGCAAAAGCAUGCUUCCAAAAGCUAUUCCGAGAUGAAUUGCAAUUUUGGCAGAUCAUAUAUAUCGAAGCAUGUGAAAGUGGCAGUAUCUUUGAGGGAUUAAUGCCACAAGACCUUAAUAUUUAUGUUACAACAGCAGCAAAUGCGGAAGAAAGUAGCUAG